UCUGGAGACAGGUGCUGCAUGGCUGUCGUCAGCUCGUGUCGUGAGAUGUUGGGUUAAGUCCCGCAACGAGCGCAACCCUUGCCUUUAGUUGCCGGCAGUUCGGCUGGGCACUCUAAAGGGACUGCCGGUGUUAAACCGGAGGAAGGUGGGGAUGACGUCAAGUCCUCAUGGCCUUUAUGACCAGGGCUACACACGUACUACAAUGGCCGAUACAAAGGGCAGCGACACUGCGAGGUGAAGCCAAUCCCGUAAAAUCGGUCUCAGUCCGGAUUGGAGUCUGCAACUCGACUCCAUGAAGUUGGAAUCGCUAGUAAUCGUGGAUCAGCAUGCCACGGUGAAUACGUUCCCGGGCCUU
RNAcentral lists this ribosomal RNA (355 nucleotides) under uncultured Desulfobulbus sp. Its description in RNAcentral is "bacterial SSU rRNA". It matches the Rfam family "Bacterial small subunit ribosomal RNA", at positions 1027 to 1382 of the family's 1533-position model. The record is from RNAcentral. Lineage: Bacteria; Pseudomonadati; Thermodesulfobacteriota; Desulfobulbia; Desulfobulbales; Desulfobulbaceae.